GAUGAACGCUGGCGGCGUGCCUAAUACAUGCGAGUAGAACGCUGAAGGAGGAGCUUGCUCUUCUGGAUGAGUUGCGAACGGGCGAGUAACGCGUAGGUAACCUGCCUGGUAGCGGGGGAUAACUAUUGGAAACGAUAGCUAAUACCGCAUGACAACAGUUAUUGCAUGAUAACUGUUUAAAAGGGGCAACUGCUCCACUACCAGAUGGACCUGCGUUGUAUUAGCUAGUUGGUGAGGUAGCGGCUCACCAAGGCGACGAUACAUAGCCGACCUGAGAGGGUGAUCGGCCACACUGGGACUGAGACACGGCCCAGACUCCUACGGGAGGCAGCAGUAGGGAGUCUUCGGCAAUGGACGGAAGUCUGACCGAGCAACGCCGCGUGAGUGAAGAAGGUUUUCGGAUCGUAAAGCUCUGUUGUAAGAGAAGAACGAGUGUGAGAGUGGAAAGUUCACACUGUGACGGUAUCUUACCAGAAAGGGACGGCUAACUACGUG
This 495-nucleotide ribosomal RNA is filed under the name uncultured bacterium. RNAcentral describes it as "partial 16S ribosomal RNA". It matches the Rfam family "Bacterial small subunit ribosomal RNA", at positions 28 to 507 of the family's 1533-position model. The record is from RNAcentral.